UCAGUUUGCUUGCAAACUGGAGAUGGCGACCGGCGCACGGGUGAGUAACACGUAUCCAACCUGCCGAUAACUCGGGGAUAGCCUUUCGAAAGAAAGAUUAAUACCCGAUGGUAUAAUCAGACCGCAUGGUUUGAUUAUUAAAGAAUUUCGGUUAUCGAUGGGGAUGCGUUCCAUUAGGCAGUUGGUGAGGUAACGGCUCACCAAACCUUCGAUGGAUAGGGGUUCUGAGAGGAAGGUCCCCCACAUUGGAACUGAGACACGGUCCAAACUCCUACGGGAGGCAGCAGUGAGGAAUAUUGGUCAAUGGGCGCAGGCCUGAACCAGCCAAGUAGCGUGAAGGAUGACUGCCCUAUGGGUUGUAAACUUCUUUUAUAUGGGAAUAAAGUUUUCCACGUGUGGAAUUUUGUAUGUACCAUAUGAAUAAGGAUCGGCUAACUCCGUGCCAGCAGCCGCGGUAAUACGGAGGAUCCGAGCGUUAUCCGGAUUUAUUGGGUUUAAAGGGAGCGUAGGUGGACAGUUAAGUCAGUUGUGAAAGUUUGCGGCUCAACCGUAAAAUUGCAGUUGAUACUGGCUGUCUUGAGUACAGUAGAGGUGGGCGGAAUUCGUGGUGUAGCGGUGAAAUGCUUAGAUAUCACGAAGAACUCCGAUUGCGAAGGCAGCUCACUGGACUGCAACUGACACUGAUGCUCGA
This 691-nucleotide ribosomal RNA is filed under the name uncultured Bacteroidales bacterium. Its description in RNAcentral is "bacterial SSU rRNA". It matches the Rfam family "Bacterial small subunit ribosomal RNA", at positions 71 to 756 of the family's 1533-position model. The record is from RNAcentral. Lineage: Bacteria; Pseudomonadati; Bacteroidota; Bacteroidia; Bacteroidales.